RNAcentral lists this ribosomal RNA (849 nucleotides) under uncultured Bacillota bacterium. Its description in RNAcentral is "bacterial SSU rRNA". It matches the Rfam family "Bacterial small subunit ribosomal RNA", at positions 60 to 917 of the family's 1533-position model. The record is from RNAcentral. Lineage: Bacteria; Bacillati; Bacillota.
AGUCGAGCGGAGACAGUGAGUAGCUUGCUAUGAGCUGUUUUAGCGGCGGACGGGUGAGUAACGCGUGAGCAACCUUUCCCAGACAGGGGAAUAACACACCGAAAGGUGUACUAAUACCGCAUAAGACCACGGGAUCACAUGGUUCUGAGGUAAAAGAUUUAUCGGUUUGGGGUGGGCUCGCGUCCGAUUAGGUAGUUGGUGAGGUAACGGCCCACCAAGCCGACGAUCGGUAGCCGACCUGAGAGGGUGAUCGGCCACAUUGGGACUGAGACACGGCCCAAACUCCUACGGGAGGCAGCAGUGGGGAAUAUUGGGCAAUGGAGGAAACUCUGACCCAGCAACGCCGCGUGGAGGAAGAAGGUUUUCGGAUCGUAAACUCCUGUCCUUGGAGACGAGUAGAAGACGGUAUCCAAGGAGGAAGCCCCGGCUAACUACGUGCCAGCAGCCGCGGUAAUACGUAGGGGGCAAGCGUUGUCCGGAAUAAUUGGGCGUAAAGGGCGCGUAGGCGGCUCGGUAAGUCUGGAGUGAAAGUCCUGCUUUUAAGGUGGGAAUUGCUUUGGAUACUGUCGGGCUUGAGUGCAGGAGAGGUUAGUGGAAUUCCCAGUGUAGCGGUGAAAUGCGUAGAGAUUGGGAGGAACACCAGUGGCGAAGGCGACUAACUGGACUGUAACUGACGCUGAGGCGCGAAAGUGUGGGGAGCAAACAGGAUUAGAUACCCUGGUAGUCCACACUGUAAACGAUGAAUGCUAGGUGUAGGGGGUAUCGACCCCUUCUGUGCCGCAGUCAACACAAUAAGCAUUCCGCCUGGGGAGUACGGCCGCAAGGUUGCAACUCAAAGGAAUUGACGGA